UACGUAGGGUGCAAGCGUUGUCCGGAAUUAUUGGGCGUAAAGAGCUCGUAGGCGGUUUGUCGCGUCUGCUGUGAAAACUCGGGGCUUAACCCCGGGCCUGCAGUGGGUACGGGCAGACUAGAGUGCGGUAGGGGAGACUGGAAUUCCUGGUGUAGCGGUGAAAUGCGCAGAUAUCAGGAGGAACACCGGUGGCGAAGGCGGGUCUCUGGGCCGUAACUGACGCUGAGGAGCGAAAGCGUGGGGGGCGAACAGG
Molecule: ribosomal RNA, 253 nt
Filed under: uncultured bacterium
Lineage: Bacteria
Description: partial 16S ribosomal RNA
Rfam family: Bacterial small subunit ribosomal RNA
Source: RNAcentral